GUUCCUGUAGCGCAAUGGAUAGCGUGUUGGACUUUUAAUCCAAAUAUCAUGGGUUCGAAUCUCACCAGGAAUA
Non-coding RNA from Trichonephila clavipes, 73 nucleotides. The record is from the annotation of a GenBank genome assembly. Lineage: Eukaryota; Metazoa; Arthropoda; Arachnida; Araneae; Nephilidae.